CAACUUUCAGCAGUGGAUGUCUAGGCUCGCACAUCGAUGAAGAACGCUGCGAACUGCGAUACGUAAUGCGAAUUGCAGGAUUCAGUGAGUCAUCGAACUUUUGAACGCAUAUUGCACUUUCGGGUUACCCCUGGAAGUAUGUCUGUAUCAGUGUCCGUA
Molecule: ribosomal RNA, 159 nt
Filed under: Phytopythium sp.
Lineage: Eukaryota; Oomycota; Peronosporomycetes; Pythiales; Pythiaceae
Description: 5.8S ribosomal RNA
Rfam family: 5.8S ribosomal RNA
About the family: 5.8S ribosomal RNA (5.8S rRNA) is a component of the large subunit of the eukaryotic ribosome.
Source: RNAcentral